UACGGAAGGCAGCAGUGGGGAAUAUUGCACAAUGGGCGAAAGCCUGAUGCAGCUAUGCCGCGUGUAUGAAGAAGGCCUUAGGGUUGUAAAGUACUUUCAUCGGGGAGGAAAAAACAAAACUAAUAAUUUUAUUUCUUGACGUUACCCGAAAAAGAAGCACCGGCUAACUCCGUGCCAGCAGCCGCGGUAAUACGGAGGGUGCUAGCGUUAAUCAGAAUUACUGGGCGUAAAGAGCACGUAGGUGGUUUUUUUAAGUCAGAUGUGAAAUCCCUGGGCUUAACCUGGAACUGCAUUUUGAAACUGAAAUACUAGAGUAUCGUAGAGGGAGGUAGAAUUCUAGGUGUAGCGGUGAAAUGCGUAGAUAUCUGGAGGAAUACCUGUGGCGAAAGCGGCCUCCUAAACGAAUACUGACACUGAGGGUGCGAAAGCGUGGGGAGCAAACAGGGAUUAGAUACC
RNAcentral lists this ribosomal RNA (456 nucleotides) under uncultured bacterium. RNAcentral describes it as "bacterial SSU rRNA". It matches the Rfam family "Bacterial small subunit ribosomal RNA", at positions 340 to 786 of the family's 1533-position model. The record is from RNAcentral.